Numida meleagris (helmeted guineafowl) is the source of this 1944-nucleotide long non-coding RNA. RefSeq lists it as uncharacterized. The record is from RefSeq and is a predicted model, not a curated record. Lineage: Eukaryota; Metazoa; Chordata; Aves; Galliformes; Numididae. The transcript is spliced from 10 exons.
UUUGUCUUUUCUUCUUCCACUUAACUCUAAAUGAGAGAUCUUAAGCAUAGUUAAAUAGGAUUCAUAAUAUCUCGCUGACUGAAAAUCAUCUUGAAAUGUGGAAUGUGAGGGCAAAAAUAGUUAUCACAUACAAAACCGUCUUCCCUCUGAAUUUCUAAAGGAAGGCAGAGGAGGACGCUGUCCCUGUGUGCGCAUUAGUAUUCCUGGUUGUGUUCGUGGAGAGAGACCACUGCGGGGCCAGAGCCACAUGGCUGCUGCAGGAAUACUUACCUGACUUUCGACCUGAAGGUAGAGAAGAGGCUGCAGAAGAGAUGCCUGUAAAGAAUCCUCUGUGUUCAUGUGGCUGCGUACUUGUGACCCGUUUGGACAUUGUUGAUUGGCCCAGGGUAGGGAGCACCGGAGCGGUGGCAGUGGUGGGAAGGCACAGCCAGCUGCACGUGCCACCUAAAUCUCUGCCUGAGGGAGGACUGGAGGCUGGAGCAAAACAUGAGGACCUGUGUGGCUGCACGAUGACCUGAAACAAGGGUGGCACCCCAGGGAGGCCUCACCUGCAUGGAGGACAGGAGAAAUCAUGAUGAGGAUUGAUCCAACAGAGUGUAGUGGCUCCCUUGGAUCUUACAGAGGCCUGCUGAGAUCUAUAGAUCUGUAUUUAAGGACUCCUAAAUAGACCUCAUGACUGGUCUGACAGACCGUGACUGCUGCAAAGGAGACACGGCCAGGCAUGCUGUAAAUCUGUUGCAGACCUCGGGUAGCUGAGCAUCACGUUGGAGGCUGCCCCAUGUGCACACCACAGCCAGGAGCUGGAAGGGCUCAGCCUGUGAGAGAACGCUCAGCUGAAACCUGUCCAGCCGUGUUCAUGUUCAUCAGCUGCUGUCGGUCUGCGCUGGGCUGUGCAGGAGCCCUGCACUGAGCACUGGGGGUGCGUGUGUCAAAGCUGUAGAACACGUGCGUAAACCCACAGAGUGCUGGGAGCCAUAGAAAAGAUUGGUAAAACAUGCAUAAAGAGAGGAGGCUGAUGAUCUACAGGAUUUUCUUUGUUGAAGCAACCACAGCCCAGAGCCUGGUCUGUUAAAACAGCCCUACAGGUUUGUCAGACUUCAAAUGUAGGCUGUAGGCACAGCAGCUCCUGUGCAAACCAAUGGCUGUUGCUACCCUGUGCCUGUGGGCAGAUCGGAGCAGUGAGCAACUGGAAUCCAGCUGGAGGAAGGUGGUUAAAGGCUGAGUGGCUCAUUGGAUCUAAGGAGACUGCUGCUCAUGGGAGUGUUGGCUCUUAAGAAAUUGGCAGGCUUUGCAAUUCCCUCUUGUUGGGAAAACUAUGUCAUUGAUACAAUUUGGACUCUCUUCUGGCGAGUGGUAGUAGCAGCUGAUGUUAAACUUUGAGCAACCACUGGCUUUGCUGAUGUGUCUGGUAACAGAAACAACUAAGAGUUGUAAUGCAAACAAUUAAAGAUCUUUCUAAUCUUUAACUCAUGUCUCAGCAUCCGCUGGAUCUGACCAUAAGGAACAUCUAAAAGAUGAGAAACAAACGGACCAAGCUUCUCAGCCUGGAAUGUCAUCUUCAUCUGUGAAUCAGAAUUUGGACCUGCUGCUGAUGAGUUGGAAAAGCAAUUGUGGCAUGAACAAUGAGACUUUGGGUUGACAGCCUAGGGGAGCUAUUCGGCAGCUUCACAGACAGGCUUCCCAGUGUAAAUGAAGAUGAGAAAGUGCAUGAAAAAUCGAUUGCGCACUAGAGACAACACUUACUUCAUUAACUACCUUCAGCACUAACCUCUUGAACACUAUGGCAGCAGAGGGGCACUCUGACAAAAUGGCAUCUGAUAUGGAAGCAUGUAUGAAGGAAAGGAGUGUCAUCAAAUUCCUCUGUGUGGAGAUAACUGCACCUACUGACAUUCAUCGAUGCUUGCUGAAUGCUUGUGGAGACCAAACAGUAGAUGUGAGCACAGU